UACGAAGGGGGCUAGCGUUGUUCGGAAUUACUGGGCGUAAAGCGAACGUAGGCGGUGUUCCAUGUCAGAGGUGAAAGCCUGGGGCUCAACUCCAGAAUUGCCUUUGAAACGGGGACGCUUGAGUCCGAGAGAGGAUGGCGGAAUUCCUAGUGUAGAGGUGAAAUUCGUAGAUAUUAGGAAGAACACCAGUGGCGAAGGCGGCCAUCUGGCUCGGUACUGACGCUCAGGUUCGAAAGCGUGGGGGAGCAAACAGG
RNAcentral lists this ribosomal RNA (254 nucleotides) under uncultured bacterium. Its description in RNAcentral is "partial 16S ribosomal RNA". It matches the Rfam family "Bacterial small subunit ribosomal RNA", at positions 524 to 776 of the family's 1533-position model. The record is from RNAcentral.